This 1608-nucleotide ribosomal RNA is filed under the name Salmonella enterica subsp. enterica serovar Typhimurium. Its description in RNAcentral is "partial 23S ribosomal RNA". It matches the Rfam family "Bacterial large subunit ribosomal RNA", at positions 711 to 2215 of the family's 2925-position model. Lineage: Bacteria; Pseudomonadati; Pseudomonadota; Gammaproteobacteria; Enterobacterales; Enterobacteriaceae. The record is from RNAcentral.
AGACCCGAAACCCGGUGAUCUAGCCAUGGGCAGGUUGAAGGUUGGGUAACACUAACUGGAGGACCGAACCGACUAAUGUUGAAAAAUUAGCGGAUGACCUGUGGCUGGGGGUGAAAGGCCAAUCAAACCGGGAGAUAGCUGGUUCUCCCCGAAAGCUAUUUAGGUAGCGCCUCGUGAAUUCAUCUCCGGGGGUAGAGCACUGUUUCGGCUAGGGGGCCAUCCCGGCUUACCAACCCGAUGCAAACUGCGAAUACCGGAGAAUGUUAUCACGGGAGACACACGGCGGGUGCUAACGUCCGUCGUGAAGAGGGAAACAACCCAGACCGCCAGCUAAGGUCCCAAAGUCAUGGUUAAGUGGGAAACGAUGUGGGAAGGCCCAGACAGCCAGGAUGUUGGCUUAGAAGCAGCCAUCAUUUAAAGAAAGCGUAAUAGCUCACUGGUCAAGUCGGCCUGCGCGGAAGAUGUAACGGGGCUAAACCAUGCACCGAAGCUGCGGCAGCGAACGUAUCACCCAAGACAACUUUACGGAGUUGACGAUUGACGGAGCGAAGCGACGUCAAAGCGUUCAUUAAAGUCGAGUUGGCUUAGGGAUACGUUCGUUGGGUAGGGGAGCGUUCUGUAAGCCUGUGAAGGUGUGUCGUGAGGCAUGCUGGAGGUAUCAGAAGUGCGAAUGCUGACAUAAGUAACGAUAAAGCGGGUGAAAAGCCCGCUCGCCGGAAGACCAAGGGUUCCUGUCCAACGUUAAUCGGGGCAGGGUGAGUCGACCCCUAAGGCGAGGCCGAAAGGCGUAGUCGAUGGGAAACGGGUUAAUAUUCCCGUACUUGGUGUUACUGCGAAGGGGGGACGGAGAAGGCUAUGUUGGCCGGGCGACGGUUGUCCCGGUUUAAGCGUGUAGGUGUGUGUUCCAGGUAAAUCCGGUUCACUUUAACACUGAGGCGUGACGACGAGGCACUACGGUGCUGAAGCAACAAAUGCCCUGCUUCCAGGAAAAGCCUCUAAGCAUCAGGUAACACGAAAUCGUACCCCAAACCGACACAGGUGGUCAGGUAGAGAAUACCAAGGCGCUUGAGAGAACUCGGGUGAAGGAACUAGGCAAAAUGGUGCCGUAACUUCGGGAGAAGGCACGCUGACACGUAGGUGAAGUGAUUUACUCAUGGAGCUGAAGUCAGUCGAAGAUACCAGCUGGCUGCAACUGUUUAUUAAAAACACAGCACUGUGCAAACACGAAAGUGGACGUAUACGGUGUGACGCCUGCCCGGUGCCGGAAGGUUAAUUGAUGGGGUCAGCGUAAGCGAAGCUCCUGAUCGAAGCCCCGGUAAACGGCGGCCGUAACUAUAACGGUCCUAAGGUAGCGAAAUUCCUUGUCGGGUAAGUUCCGACCUGCACGAAUGGCGUAAUGAUGGCCAGGCUGUCUCCACCCGAGACUCAGUGAAAUUGAACUCGCUGUGAAGAUGCAGUGUACCCGCGGCAAGACGGAAAGACCCCGUGAACCUUUACUAUAGCUUGACACUGAACAUUGAGCCUUGAUGUGUAGGAUAGGUGGGAGGCUUUGAAGUGUGGACGCCAGUCUGCAUGGAGCCGACCUUGAAAUACCACCCUUUAAUGUUU